Molecule: ribosomal RNA, 433 nt
Filed under: uncultured bacterium
Lineage: Bacteria
Description: partial 16S ribosomal RNA
Rfam family: Bacterial small subunit ribosomal RNA
Source: RNAcentral
AACGAACGCUGGCGGCAUGCCUAACACAUGCAAGUCGAACGAUGCCUUCGGGCAUAGUGGCGCACGGGUGCGUAACGCGUGGGAAUCUGCCUUUCGGUUCGGAAUAACUCAGGGAAACUUGAGCUAAUACCGGAUAACGUCGCAAGACCAAAGAUUUAUCACCGAAAGAUGAGCCCGCGUAGGAUUAGCUAGUUGGUGAGGUAAAGGCUCACCAAGGCGACGAUCCUUAGCUGGUCUGAGAGGAUGAUCAGCCACACUGGGACUGAGACACGGCCCAGACUCCUGCGGGAGGCAGCAGUGGGGAAUAUUGGACAAUGGGCGAAAGACUGAUCCAGCAAUGCCGCGUGAAUGAUGAAGGCCUUAGGGUUGUAAAGCUCUUUUACCAGGGAAGAUAAUGACGGUACCGGGAUAAUAAGCCACGGCUAACUCCGUG